This 383-nucleotide ribosomal RNA is filed under the name uncultured eukaryote. Its description in RNAcentral is "partial 18S ribosomal RNA". It matches the Rfam family "Eukaryotic small subunit ribosomal RNA", at positions 592 to 976 of the family's 1831-position model. The record is from RNAcentral.
CAAUAGCGUAUAUUAAAGUUGUUGCAGUUAAAAAGCUCGUAGUUGGAUUUCUGGUGGGAGCGAUCGGUCUGGCGCUUAGCGCGAGUACUUGCAUCGUCUCCGGCCAUCCUUGGGGAGAGUCUGUCUGGCAUUAAGUUGUCGGGCAGAGGAUCCUCAUCGUUUACUGUGAAAAAAUUAGAGUGUUCAAAGCAGGCUUAUGCCGUUGAAUAUAUUAGCAUGGAAUAACAAGAUAGGACUUUGGUACUAUUUUGUUGGUUUGCGCACCAAAGUAAUGAUUAAUAGGGACAGUUGGGGGUAUUCGUAUUCCGUUGUCAGAGGUGAAAUUCUUGGAUUUACGGAAGACGAACUACUGCGAAAGCAUUUACCAAGGAUGUUUUCAUUAA